GACGAACGCUGGCGGCGUGCUUAACACAUGCAAGUCGUACGGUAAGGCCCUUUCGGGGGUCCACGAGUGGCGAACGGGUGAGUAACACGUGAGUAACCUGCCCACAACUUUGGGAUAACGCUAGGAAACUGGUGCUAAUACUGGAUAUGUGCUCCUGCUGCAUGGUGGGGGUUGGAAAGCUCCGGCGGUUGUGGAUGGACUCGCGGCCUAUCAGCUUGUUGGUGGGGUAGUGGCCUACCAAGGCGGCGACGGGUAGCCGGCCUGAGAGGGUGACCGGCCACAUUGGGACUGAGAUACGGCCCAGACUCCGACGGGAGGCAGCAGUGGGGAAUAUUGCACAAUGGGCGCAAGCCUGAUGCAACAACGCCGCGUGCGGGAUGACGGCCUUCGGGUUGUAAACCGCUUUCAGCAGGGACGAAGCUUUUUGUGACGGUACCUGCAGAAGAAGCACCGGCUAACUACGUG
RNAcentral lists this ribosomal RNA (465 nucleotides) under uncultured bacterium. RNAcentral's name for it is "partial 16S ribosomal RNA". It matches the Rfam family "Bacterial small subunit ribosomal RNA", at positions 28 to 507 of the family's 1533-position model. The record is from RNAcentral.